UGGGGAAUCUUGCGCAAUGGGCGAAAGCCUGACGCAGCGACGCCGCGUGUGGGAUGAAGGCCUUCGGGUCGUAAACCACUGUCGGGAGGGACGAAGCUCUGACGGUACCUCCAAAGGAAGCACCGGCUAACUCUGUGCCAGCAGCCGCGGUAAUACAGAGGGUGCGAGCGUUGUCCGGAAUCACUGGGCGUAAAGGGCGCGUAGGCGGCCCGAUAAGUAGGAGGUGAAAUCCUGCGGCUUAACCGCAGGGCUGCCUUCUAGACUGUCAGGCUUGAGCACGGUAGAGGCAGAUGGAAUUCCCGGUGUAGCGGUGGAAUGCGUAGAGAUCGGGAAGAACAUCAGUGGCGAAGGCGGUCUGCUGGGCCGUUGCUGACGCUGAGGCGCGACAGCGUGGGGAGCAAACAGGAUUAGAUACCCCCGUAGUCC
RNAcentral lists this ribosomal RNA (426 nucleotides) under uncultured bacterium. RNAcentral describes it as "bacterial SSU rRNA". It matches the Rfam family "Bacterial small subunit ribosomal RNA", at positions 355 to 796 of the family's 1533-position model. The record is from RNAcentral.